This 524-nucleotide ribosomal RNA is filed under the name uncultured bacterium. Its description in RNAcentral is "partial 16S ribosomal RNA". It matches the Rfam family "Bacterial small subunit ribosomal RNA", at positions 28 to 523 of the family's 1533-position model. The record is from RNAcentral.
GACGAACGCUGGCGGCGUGCUUAACACAUGCAAGUCGAACGGACAGACAGAGAGCUUGCUCUCUUGAAGUUAGUGGCGAACGGGUGAGUAACGCGUAAUCAACCUGCCCUUCAGAGGGGGAUAACAACGGGAAACCGUUGCUAAUACCGCGUACGAUUCAUGAACGGCAUCGUUUAUGAAUGAAAGGUGGCCUCUAUGUAUACGCUAUCGCUGAAGGAGGGGAUUGCGUCUGAUUAGCUAGUUGGAGGGGUAACGGCCCACCAAGGCAAUGAUCAGUAGCCGGUCUGAGAGGAUGAACGGCCAGAUUGGGACUGGGAGACGGCGCAAACUCCUACAGGAGGCAGCGGUGGGGAAUCGUCCGCAAUGGACGAAAGUCUGACGGAGCAACGCCGCGUGAGUGAUGAAGGUCUUCGGAUUGUAAAGCUCUGUUAAUCGGGACGAAAGAGUUCUGCGUGAAUAAUGCAGAAAAGUGACGGUACCGGAAUAGAAAGCCACGGCUAACUACGUGCCAGCCGCCGCCGUAA